Molecule: ribosomal RNA, 254 nt
Filed under: uncultured bacterium
Lineage: Bacteria
Description: partial 16S ribosomal RNA
Rfam family: Bacterial small subunit ribosomal RNA
Source: RNAcentral
UACGUAGGGGGCGAGCGUUGUCCGGAUUUAUUGGGCGUAAAGAGCUCGUAGGCGGUUUGGCAAGUCGGGUGUGAAAACUCCGGGCUCAACUCGGAGACGCCACUCGAUACUGCCAUGACUCGAGUCCGGUAGGGGAGUGCGGAAUUCCUGGUGUAGCGGUGAAAUGCGCAGAUAUCAGGAGGAACACCGGUGGCGAAGGCGGGUCUCUGGGCCGAUACUGACGCUGAGGAGCGAAAGCGUGGGGAGCGAACAGG